CCGGUAGGAUGGAAGCGGAUAGAGCCAGCGAAGCUGCUCGUAUUCAGCCGAAAGCCAUGGGCUUCGGGCGGUUUGGAUGCUAACCACGCCCGACUGUCUGUUUGAGCCUGUGGUUGGGGUGCAUUUGCGGGCAAUUGCGCUGAGACUUGUGGAGCAGCGACUUGACACGUGCAUAGAGGCUUCCCUUUGGGUUGAACCUUUGCGCGCCGAUGGUUGUUUGCCCUGCUCGUAACCGGGCUUGGCCUCGACGAGUCCAUGCGUUGUUGUUGCGUCUAUGCCAAGUGAUCGCAUGCGAUCUCUAGCUUGGGCGUCUCAGCUGCGUAUGGCGCUCCCAAGUUCGCUCUCGGUGUAGAAGCUGGUCAUCUAUCCGACCCGUCUUGAAACACGGACCAAGGAGUUUAGCGUAUGCGCGAGUCAUUGGGUGUUAAAAACUCACAGGCGCAAUGAAAGUGAAGGCCCAGCCGCUGGGCUUACAUGCGAAUGGUCGGACUUUGGUUCGGCCAUGCAGCAUGGUCCCGUUCCGAUCGCUUGCGAUGGAGCGGAGACAGAGCGUAUGCGCUG
This 561-nucleotide ribosomal RNA is filed under the name Gracilacus steineri. RNAcentral's name for it is "partial large subunit ribosomal RNA". It matches the Rfam family "Eukaryotic large subunit ribosomal RNA", at positions 405 to 811 of the family's 3401-position model. The record is from RNAcentral. Lineage: Eukaryota; Metazoa; Nematoda; Chromadorea; Rhabditida; Tylenchulidae.